Molecule: ribosomal RNA, 497 nt
Filed under: uncultured bacterium
Lineage: Bacteria
Description: partial 16S ribosomal RNA
Rfam family: Bacterial small subunit ribosomal RNA
Source: RNAcentral
GAUGAACGCUGGCGGCGUGCCUAAUACAUGCAAGUCGAGCGAGCAGACGAGAAGCUUGCUUCUCUGAUGUUAGCGGCGGACGGGUGAGUAACACGUGGAUAACCUACCUAUAAGACUGGGAUAACUUCGGGAAACCGGAGCUAAUACCGGAUAAUAUUUUGAACCGCAUGGUUCAAAAGUGAAAGACGGUCUUGCUGUCACUUAUAGAUGGAUCCGCGCUGCAUUAGCUAGUUGGUAAGGUAACGGCUUACCAAGGCAACGAUGCAUAGCCGACCUGAGAGGGUGAUCGGCCACACUGGAACUGAGACACGGUCCAGACUCCUACGGGAGGCAGCAGUAGGGAAUCUUCCGCAAUGGGCGAAAGCCUGACGGAGCAACGCCGCGUGAGUGAUGAAGGUCUUCGGAUCGUAAAACUCUGUUAUUAGGGAAGAACAUAUGUGUAAGUAACUAUGCACAUCUUGACGGUACCUAAUCAGAAAGCCACGGCUAACUACGUG